RNAcentral lists this ribosomal RNA (510 nucleotides) under uncultured bacterium. Its description in RNAcentral is "partial 16S ribosomal RNA". It matches the Rfam family "Bacterial small subunit ribosomal RNA", at positions 28 to 507 of the family's 1533-position model. The record is from RNAcentral.
GACGAACGCUGGCGGCGUGCUUAACACAUGCAAGUCGAACGAAGAGCGAUGGAAGCUUGCUUCUCUCAAUCUUAGUGGCGAACGGGUGAGUAACGCGUAAUCAACCUGCCCUUCAGAGGGGGACAACAGUUGGAAACGACUGCUAAUACCGCAUACGAUCUAAUCUCGGCAUCGAGGAAAGAUGAAAGGUGGCCUCUAUUUAUAAGCUAUCACUGAAGGAGGGGAUUGCGUCUGAUUAGCUAGUUGGAGGGGUAACGGCCCACCAAGGCGAUGAUCAGUAGCCGGUCUGAGAGGAUGAACGGCCACAUUGGGACUGAGACACGGCCCAGACUCCUACGGGAGGCAGCAGUGGGGAAUCUUCAGCAAUGGACGAAAGUCUGACGGAGCAACGCCGCGUGAGUGAUGACGGCCUUCGGGUUGUAAAGCUCUGUUAAUCGGGACGAAAGGCCUUCUUGCGAACAGUUAGAAGGAUUGACGGUACCGGAAGAGAAAGCCACGGCUAACUACGUG